ACUUUUACAGGAUAAAAGUGAUCCGUUGGUCUUAGGAACCGAAGAACUGGUGCAACUCCAGAUAAAAGUA
RNAcentral lists this transfer RNA (70 nucleotides) under Urocyon cinereoargenteus (gray fox). RNAcentral's name for it is "tRNA-Leu". Lineage: Eukaryota; Metazoa; Chordata; Mammalia; Carnivora; Canidae. The record is from RNAcentral.